Molecule: ribosomal RNA, 497 nt
Filed under: uncultured bacterium
Lineage: Bacteria
Description: partial 16S ribosomal RNA
Rfam family: Bacterial small subunit ribosomal RNA
Source: RNAcentral
GAUGAACGCUGGCGGCGUGCCUAAUACAUGCAAGUCGAGCGAACAGACGAGGAGCUUGCUCCUCUGACGUUAGCGGCGGACGGGUGAGUAACACGUGGAUAACCUACCUAUAAGACUGGGAUAACUUCGGGAAACCGGAGCUAAUACCGGAUAAUAUAUUGAACCGCAUGGUUCAAUAGUGAAAGACGGUUUUGCUGUCACUUAUAGAUGGAUCCGCGCCGCAUUAGCUAGUUGGUAAGGUAACGGCUUACCAAGGCAACGAUGCGUAGCCGACCUGAGAGGGUGAUCGGCCACACUGGAACGGAGACACGGUCCAGACUCCUACGGGAGGCAGCAGUAGGGAAUCUUCCGCAAUGGGCGAAAGCCUUACGGAGCAACGCCGCGUGAGUGAUGAAGGUCUUCGGAUCGUAAAACUCUGUUAUUAGGGAAGAACAAAUGUGUAAGUAACUAUGCACGUCUUGACGGUACCUAAUCAGAAAGCCACGGCUAACUACGUG